UGGGGAAUUUUGGACAAUGGGGGAAACCCUGAUCCAGCCAUCCCGCGUGUGCGAUGAAGGCCUUCGGGUUGUAAAGCACUUUUGGCAGGAAAGAAACGUCGCGGGUUAAUACCCCGCGAAACUGACGGUACCUGCAGAAUAAGCACCGGCUAACUACGUGCCAGCAGCCGCGGUAAUACGUAGGGUGCAAGCGUUAAUCGGAAUUACUGGGCGUAAAGCGUGCGCAGGCGGUUCGGGAAGAAAGAUGUGAAAUCCCAGAGCUUAACUUUGGAACUGCAUUUUUAACUACCGGGCUAGAGUGUGUCAGAGGGAGGUGGAAUUCCGCGUGUAGCAGUGAAAUGCGUAGAUAUGCGGAGGAACACCGAUGGCGAAGGCAGCCUCCUGGGAUAACACUGACGCUCAUGCACGAAAGCGUGGGGAGCAAACAGGAUUAGAUACCCUGGUAGUCCACGCCCUAAACGAUGUCAACUAGCUGUUGGGGCCUUCGGGCCUUGGUAGCGCAGCUAACGCGUGAAGUUGACCGCCUGGGGAGUACGGUCGCAAGAUUAAAACUCAAAUGAAUUGAC
RNAcentral lists this ribosomal RNA (566 nucleotides) under uncultured bacterium. Its description in RNAcentral is "partial 16S ribosomal RNA". It matches the Rfam family "Bacterial small subunit ribosomal RNA", at positions 355 to 914 of the family's 1533-position model. The record is from RNAcentral.